UGCAGAAUCCCGUGAACCAUCGAGUCUUUGAACGCAAGUUGCGCCCGAAGCCAUCCGGCCAAGGGCACGUCUGCCUGGGCGUCA
RNAcentral lists this ribosomal RNA (84 nucleotides) under Streblus asper. RNAcentral's name for it is "partial 5.8S ribosomal RNA". It matches the Rfam family "5.8S ribosomal RNA", at positions 73 to 154 of the family's 154-position model. From Rfam's summary of the family: 5.8S ribosomal RNA (5.8S rRNA) is a component of the large subunit of the eukaryotic ribosome. It is transcribed by RNA polymerase I as part of the 45S precursor that also contains 18S and 28S rRNA. Functionally, it is thought that 5.8S rRNA may be involved in ribosome translocation. The record is from RNAcentral. Lineage: Eukaryota; Viridiplantae; Streptophyta; Magnoliopsida; Rosales; Moraceae.